AGAGUUUGAUCCUGGCUCAGAACGAUUUCUGGCGGCGUGCCUAACACAUGCAAGUCGUACGAGAAAAUCCGCUUCGGCGGGUGAGUAGAGUGGCGCACGGGUGAGUAACGCGUGGAUAAUCUGCCUUUAAGCUGGGAAUAACUCACCGAAAGGUGGGCUAAUACCCGAUAAUGCUAUGGGACUUCGGUUUUAUAGCCAAAGAGAGCCUCUACAUGUAAGCCUUCACUUAAAGAUGAGUCCGCGUACCAUUAGCUAGUUGGUAGGGUAAUGGCCUACCAAGGCGACGAUGGUUAGCUGGUCUGAGAGGAUGAUCAGCCACACUGGAACUGAGACACGGUCCAGACUCCUACGGGAGGCAGCAGUGAGGAAUAUUGCGCAAUGGGGGCAACCCUGACGCAGCAACGCCGCGUGAGUGAGGAAGGUCUUCGGAUCGUAAAGCUCUGUCGGGUGGGAAGAAGUGUGCAUAGGUUAAUAGCUUGUGCACUUGACGGUACCGCCAAAGGAAGCACCGGCUAACUCCGUGCCAGCAGCCGCGGUAAUACGGGGGGUGCGAGCGUUGUUUCGGAAUCAUUGGGCGUAAAGAACGUGUAUGCGGCUAUGCAAGUCAGAUGUGAAAAUCCCUGGGCUUAACCCAGGAAGUGCAUUGGAAACUGCUUAGCUUGAGUAAGGAAGAGGGAAGUGGAAUUCCUGGUGUAGAGGUGAAAUUCGUAGAUAUCAGGAGGAACACCGGUGGCGAAGGCGACUUCCUGGUCCUAUACUGACGCUGAGACGCGAGAGCGUGGGGAGCAAACAGGAUUAGAUACCCUGGUAGUCCACGCCGUAAACGAUGUUAAAGGAGGUGUUGAGGGUAUUGACCCCUUCCAGUGCCGANAGCUAACGCAUUAAGGAACCGCCCGGGAGACU
This 903-nucleotide ribosomal RNA is filed under the name uncultured bacterium. RNAcentral describes it as "bacterial SSU rRNA". It matches the Rfam family "Bacterial small subunit ribosomal RNA", at positions 9 to 873 of the family's 1533-position model. The record is from RNAcentral.